UACGAAGGGGGCUAGCGUUGUUCGGAUUUACUGGGCGUAAAGCGCACGUAGGCGGAUUGUUAAGUCGGGGGUGAAAUCCUGGAGCUCAACUCCAGAACUGCCUUCGAUACUGGCAAUCUCGGGUCCGGAAGAGGUAAGUGGAACUCCUAGUGUAGAGGUGGAAUUCGUAGAUAUUAGGAAGAACACCAGUGGCGAAGGCGGCUUACUGGUCCGGUACUGACGCUGAGGUGCGAAAGCGUGGGGAGCAAACAGG
This 253-nucleotide ribosomal RNA is filed under the name uncultured bacterium. RNAcentral's name for it is "partial 16S ribosomal RNA". It matches the Rfam family "Bacterial small subunit ribosomal RNA", at positions 524 to 776 of the family's 1533-position model. The record is from RNAcentral.